This 825-nucleotide ribosomal RNA is filed under the name uncultured Planctomycetota bacterium. Its description in RNAcentral is "bacterial SSU rRNA". It matches the Rfam family "Bacterial small subunit ribosomal RNA", at positions 66 to 902 of the family's 1533-position model. Lineage: Bacteria; Pseudomonadati; Planctomycetota. The record is from RNAcentral.
AAUCCCAUCUGGGUAACUGGAUGGGGGAAGUGGCGAAAGGGGCAGUAAGGCGUGGGUAACCUACCCUGGGGACCGGGAUAGCCUUCCUAACGGAUGGGUAAUACCGGGCGAUCUGCCGAGGGGGCAUCUCCUUGUCAGGAAAUGAAUUUCGCCUCGGGAGGGGCUCACGUGAUAUUAGCUUGUUGGCGGGGUAAUGGCCCACCAAGGCUGAGAUGUCUAGCAGGUGUGAGAGCACGACCUGCGCCACUGGCACUGAGACACUGGCCAGACACCUACGGGUGGCUGCAGUCGAGGAUCUUCGGCAAUGGGCGCAAGCCUGACCGAGCGACGCCGCGUGUGCGAUGAAGGCCUUCGGGUUGUAAAGCACUGUCGAGGGGGAGGAAGGCGCAAGCUUGACCUAUCCCUGGAGGAAGCACGGGCUAAGUUCGUGCCAGCAGCCGCGGUAAGACGAACCGUGCGAACGUUGUUCGGAAUCACUGGGCUUAAAGGGCGCGUAGGCGGGCAAGCAAGUCCGGGGUGAAAGCCCCCAGCUCAACUGGGGAAGUGCCUUGGAAACUGCUUGUCUAGAGGGAGGUAGGGGCAUGUGGAACUUCGGGUGGAGCGGUGAAAUGCGUUGAUAUCCGAAGGAACGCCGGUGGCGAAAGCGACGUGCUGGAUCUCUUCUGACGCUGAGGCGCGAAAGCUAGGGUAGCGAACGGGAUUAGAUACCCCGGUAGUCCUAGCCCUAAACGAUGGGUACUAGAUUGCGGACUUAACAUGGGUUCGCAGUCGAAGCAAAAGUGGUAAGUACCCCGCCUGGGGAGUAUGGUCGCAAGGCUGAAACUC